RNAcentral lists this transfer RNA (85 nucleotides) under Felis catus (domestic cat). It matches the Rfam family "tRNA". Rfam says of the family: Transfer RNA (tRNA) molecules are approximately 80 nucleotides in length. Lineage: Eukaryota; Metazoa; Chordata; Mammalia; Carnivora; Felidae. The record is from Rfam by way of RNAcentral.
GCCUGGGUGGCUCAGUCGGUUGAGCGUCCGACUUCGGCUCGGGUCAUGAUCUCGCGUUUUGUGGGUUCGAGCCCCGCGUCGGGCU